Molecule: transfer RNA, 75 nt
Filed under: Schistocerca americana (American grasshopper)
Lineage: Eukaryota; Metazoa; Arthropoda; Insecta; Orthoptera; Acrididae
Also listed under: 1 other name
Description: tRNA-Ser
Rfam family: tRNA
About the family: Transfer RNA (tRNA) molecules are approximately 80 nucleotides in length.
Source: RNAcentral
GCUUGGGUAGCUCAGUUGGUAGAGCACUUGCCCGUGAAAGGCAAAGGUCCCGAGUUCGAGUCUCGGUCCAGCGCA